This is a non-coding RNA of Ictidomys tridecemlineatus (thirteen-lined ground squirrel), 3074 nucleotides long. The record is from RefSeq and is a predicted model, not a curated record. NCBI's taxonomy places the organism in Eukaryota, Metazoa, Chordata, Mammalia, Rodentia, Sciuridae.
AUUGUGUCUAACGGAAGCGAGUAGCUCAAGGAAAGAAAAUAUUAAGCACUCAGUCCUAAAUUCCUGGCCUCACAGAAAGUCCUGAAACCGUGGACUUUCACUGACUGAACUAGAAACUCCUUGGGUUUGGGGACUCUGGACAAAAGCCACCUAAAUGAAACCUUGAUCAUUAAUGGCUCAGGCCAGACGUGUCUUCUCAGAGCCAGAGAUUUUCAGUCACGAUUUCAAGUAGGCCUUCAGUGGGCUGCCCAUUCGUGUCCACUCUGGGGUCCACAGGAAGAAGGAGUCAAGCCUCCAUACUAAGACCAAUUUGACUGACACUGUGGUGUGGACGGGCAGAGUGGUGGGGUAACUUGCCGCAGCUCACACGUCGUCGUCAGAAGAGAAGGAGACACCUGCCCGCUCUGUCGCCUGCUCCACCUUUAUUCAUCCCACCUAGGGAUUUGGAUCCAGCGAUUCGGAUUUUUUACCAGGUGAAGAAAGUUCAGCAGGUCCACAGGAGAGGUGCCUCCCCCUGAGGUUUGGGCCACCCAGACGCUGCUUCCUAGAAACAUUGUGAAGAAGACCCACAGCAGAGAAAAAUGACAUUCCAAGAAACAUGCCCAGAAAACAAAGAAACGGAGAUAUGGGUUCCUGACUUGAUGUGCCAAUAUCUGCUGCUCUCAAUAGAAGCCAAACCAAUGGGACGGCCUCUUCUUGAACUUUGAUCCUUCAAAGCUGGGAGCUGAAUCCAUCUUUUCUCCUUAUAUAGAUCGAAAAUGACACAAGACCUAUAAGCAAGAUAUUUUAAUUCUUGAAACUUAUGACUGCAGAUGGCAAUUUAUGACAGGCAUCUGGAACAAGCCGGGCCUAUGCUAUAGAGGCUGGUGAUACAGUGGGUAGGAGAGAGGUUGGCACACUUUUCUGUAAGCCUUUGAGGCUUUUAAGGAUGCAGAAAUUCUGCUGCAACACUCAACUCUGCUCUUGUAGUGUAGAAGAGUCAUAGAGACCACAUGAAUGUGUUGUAGGAAAACUUCAUUACAAAAUCAGGCAGUGGGAUGCAUUUGGAUUAUGGGCUGUAGUUUGCAGACCCCGGUUCUUGAAGGGUGAAUCAGCAUUGAAUGUAUAAUUCCAAGCUGAAUAUACCAUUAUAUAUCAUGGUACAUGCCCUCGAUAAAGAAAUGAAGCAGUUACUAUGCUAGAGAAAAAAUGAGGUUUGGGAAAAUUAGCUUUUAAUUUUCACUGGUGGGGGGAGAGAAGAGAGCAACGGAGUCGAGUAUGGCACAUCUAUGUUCCUGAUCUCAAAUCCUUAGUGAAGUUUACACAAGUCGAAAGAUGCUUGUGCUGCAUGGCUUUAUUGUGGACACCAGUGGAUGAGCUCAGGAAUGCACCCAGGCUAACAUGCUGCCAGUGAACAGCACAAAGGAGAGAACAGCGAGGAGUCCCUGGUGCUGUUGGAUUGCAUGUAUGUGCCUAGAAGAAAGAUCUAGAAGCUUACAUAUCAACUGUAAGCAGAAGUCAGCCUGAGGGUGCAUUUUGGGUGGGCAGGUAGCAAAGCCUGGAACACCUUCACUGUUCUAGACUCUUCUUCCCUUUUGGAAUAGUUUGAAAUAAAUGUGUAUAACUUCUAUAAAAAUAACAGUGUUUUCACUGUUUUCGUGUUACUGCGGAUAGCCCAAUCUCUCCGAUAAGGACUCUGAAGACAUUGCUAAAGACAGAACCCAAAUUAUUUUAGUCAGGCUACAAUUAGACCUCACUGUGCAUGAAGUGCAAAAAAAAAAAAUCAGCUCCAGAUGAAUAAAGAUCAGAAUAUGAAAGGCAAAAAUUCAAGACUUUUAUUAGACACCGUAGAGGAAUAUCUACUUGACCUCAGGGUUAGAACAAGGUUGAAAAUGCUGAUUGCACUUGACUACACCGAAAUUAAGAACAUCCAUUUGUGAAAGAAAGUAAAAAAGCAAACUGUGGAAGUAUAUAUCCAAGCCAUCUAAUAAACGAAGAGCUCACAUUCAGAAUGAACUCCUGCAAAUCAGCAAGCAAGAAAAAAAUAAACUCAAUAAAAAAUAAUGCUUGAAAUAGGCAUAGUAUAAAAGAAACAAAAUGGCCCAAAACUUGGAAAAUUACUCAGCCAUAUUUAUAAUCCAGGAAAUGGAAAUUAACAAGAGGUUGGCAAAAAAUACAAGGACUGACCACACUUGGCAAAGAAUAGGGUGUGGAAUAUCAGAGCUGAGGGAAAUUUCUUGUGUGAAUGUACACGGGUACAAGUCCUUUGGAGAAGAGAUGGCAUUGCAUCUAUGUGGAAGGUGGGUAUGUGCUAUGAUCCAAGUAAUUCACUUCUGGUAGUAUAUCCUAGAAACCAGUGCAUGUGAACACUAGAAAAUACCAGAGUGGUAACAGCAGUGCUGUUCACCAUAGUAAGAAAUGAAAUAAUGCAGUGCCUACCAAAACAGUCACAUACUCAUACAAUAAAAUCCUAUUGAAAAUCAGCGGCAGCUAAGAACAACAUGGAAAUGAUAUUGAGCAAAAACAGACACAUAAAUUCUACUUAUUUAAGGUUUCGAAACUAGGUUGUUUGGGAAUUCGUGCCUUUAUGGUAAAACUGCACUGAAAUGCAAACAGCUAGAAGAGGGGUUGCUGCACAAGAUAGGAGGGAGGAUGGUGUGCAUGAGAAGACAGGGAAAGGUUUCUGGAUACUGUCUACUUAGUUCUUAAAAUUGUGGUGAAAUAGACACAAGAAGUACCAUCUUAACCCUUUGGCGGUCCUGCAAGUGCAGGGAACGAACGCACUGAGAACACGGGCUUUGCAGGGCGCCAUCACCACCACCCACCUCCAGGGCUUCUCACCUUUGCCAGAGAAACUCUGAACCCACCAAACAGGAACUACCCAGAUCUCUUCUCUCACCCUCUGAAAACCACCCUUCCACCAUCUCUCUCUACUCUGGGUACAUCAUAUGAUGGAGUCAUUGCCCUUCUACACCAGGUCACUGUACCGAGCACAAUGUCUUUGUGGUUCAUCCACAUUGUAGUGUGUGUUGGGAGUUCCUGAUGAAUCAUCUUCCACCCUAUGUAUGUCUGUCCCAUUUUGUUCACUCUUCAUC